This 773-nucleotide ribosomal RNA is filed under the name uncultured bacterium. Its description in RNAcentral is "bacterial SSU rRNA". It matches the Rfam family "Bacterial small subunit ribosomal RNA", at positions 48 to 814 of the family's 1533-position model. The record is from RNAcentral.
CUUACACNUNGCAAGUCGAACGGCAGCGCGGGGCAACUCUGGCGGCGAGUGGCGAACGGGUGAGUAAUAUAUCGGAACGUGCCCUGGAGUGGGGGAUAACGCAGCGAAAGUUGCGCUAAUACCGCAUACGAUCUAAGGAUGAAAGCGGGGGAUUCGCAAGAACCUCGUGCUCCUGGAGCGGCCGAUAUCUGAUUAGCUAGUUGGUGGGGUAAAGGCCUACCAAGGCAUCGAUCAGUAGCUGGUCUGAGAGGACGACCAGCCACACUGGAACUGAGACACGGUCCAGACUCCUACGGGAGGCAGCAGUGGGGAAUUUUGGACAAUGGGCGAAAGCCUGAUCCAGCAAUGCCGCGUGAGUGAAGAAGGCCUUCGGGUUGUAAAGCACUUUUGUCAGGGAAGAAACGGUGAAGGCUAAUAUCCUUUGCUAAUGACGGUACCUGAAGAAUAAGCACCGGCUAACUACGUGCCAGCAGCCGCGGUAAUACGUAGGGUGCAAGCGUUAAUCGGAAUUACUGGGCGUAAAGCGUGCGCAGGCGGUUUUGUAAGUCUGUCGUGAAAUCCCCGGGCUCAACCUGGGAAUUGCGAUGGAGACUGCAAGGCUAGAAUCUGGCAGAGGGGGGUAGAAUUCCACGUGUAGCAGUGAAAUGCGUAGAGAUGUGGAGGAACACCGAUGGCGAAGGCAGCCNCCUGGGUCAAGAUUGACGCUCAUACACGAAAGCGUGGGGAGCAAACAGGAUUAGAUACCCUGGUAGUCCACGCCCUAAACGAUGUCU